AUUACAACUUACAUCUGCAUGUAGCUUGAAUAUACGUGCAUGCCAAGAAACACUACUGCAAAGACUACAGAAGAAGACAUCAAUACUUAAAAUUCAUUCUGCAAACGAUGGUGAUGUGUUCUCGUCCGCCCGGAAGAACUCACCGGGGCCGCCUCCUUCUACUACUACUUGCUGCCAUCUUCAUACUUGCUUCCGGGAGCGGACCACGCAGCUCGGUUACUACAGCUCGUCCUCCUCCGGUAUAUCGCUGGCCUCCAUGAAAUUUGAUAUGCACAUGCUACACACUACUGGAGAAAGUGCAAUAUGUACUAGUUAGCAAUGCAACUGGCUACAGUACCAACGAUGUGGAUAUCUAUAACUAAAAACCCAAAUCAUUAGUCCGAGUUGUAUAGAUCAUAUACUAAAUAGUGAACUUUAGUACUUGUUUUUGGCUUGAAUAUGUACUAAAGGAUCCGUUUUUAGUACCAGUUCUAUUAGAAAAUAGUAAUUACAUGUAUAGAGUAGUUGGCACCGACCGAUCGUAAUUCACUAUGAAAUAGUAAUUGCCCAGCUUACAAUAGAAUGCACAUUUUGUUUAAUAAUUUGACCUGUUAGGCUAGCUUCAGCGAAGCGCGUAAAUGGAUGUGCAUGUGUAUUUUUGUUUGUAUUCAACUAUGUACUCUUCCAGGAGAGCGCGGAUGAGGAGGAUAUGAAAAAUGUGGACACCCAGCCUCCUCGUAUAUCAGAUCCAUGAUUUCUCUCU
Long non-coding RNA from Zea mays, 742 nucleotides. RefSeq lists it as uncharacterized. NCBI's taxonomy places the organism in Eukaryota, Viridiplantae, Streptophyta, Magnoliopsida, Poales, Poaceae. The transcript has 2 exons. The record is from RefSeq and is a predicted model, not a curated record.